This 21-nucleotide microRNA is filed under the name Cordylochernes scorpioides. Lineage: Eukaryota; Metazoa; Arthropoda; Arachnida; Pseudoscorpiones; Chernetidae. The record is from RNAcentral.
UGGCUAGUGAUGUAGAUUAUC